UAGCACUCCUAGGACUACUCGGCAGG
This 26-nucleotide non-coding RNA is filed under the name Mus musculus (house mouse). The record is from RNAcentral. Lineage: Eukaryota; Metazoa; Chordata; Mammalia; Rodentia; Muridae.